CGGUCAAAGCUAAAAGACGUCCCGCCUGCCCUGUGACUAACAGUUUAACGGCCGCGGUACUUUAACCGUGCAAAGGUAGCGUAAUCACUUGUUUUUUAAAUAAAGACCUGUAUGAAUGGCACCACGAGGGCUAAGCUGUCUCCUUUUUCUAGUCAAUGAAAUUGAUCUGCUUGUGCAGAAGCAAGCAUACUAACAUAAGACGAGAAGACCCUAUGGAGCUUAAGACAAAGGGAUAGACCAAGUUAAAACCCCUGCUAACUUAUCAGGAAAAAACUUAUUGGACCCUACCCAGAUGUCUUUGGUUGGGGCGACCGCGGAGAAACAAAAAACCCCCACGUGGAACGGGCCUUACCCUUAAAACCAGAGCCACAGCCCUAUUUAACAGAAAAUCUGACCAUCAAGAUCCGGCAAAGCCGAUCAACGGACCCAGUUACCCUAGGGAUAACAGCGCAAUCCCCUUCUAGAGAACAUAUCGACUAGGGGGUUUACGACCUCGAUGUUGGAUCAGGACUUCCUAAUGGUGCAACAGCUAUUAAGGGUUCGUUUGUUCAACGAUUAAAGUCCUACGUGAUCUGAGUUUCAGGACCGGGGGAUGG
Molecule: ribosomal RNA, 596 nt
Filed under: Cryptocentrus cinctus
Lineage: Eukaryota; Metazoa; Chordata; Actinopteri; Gobiiformes; Gobiidae
Also listed under: 1 other name
Description: partial large subunit ribosomal RNA
Rfam family: Bacterial large subunit ribosomal RNA
Source: RNAcentral